This 274-nucleotide ribosomal RNA is filed under the name uncultured bacterium. RNAcentral describes it as "partial 16S ribosomal RNA". It matches the Rfam family "Bacterial small subunit ribosomal RNA", at positions 523 to 796 of the family's 1533-position model. The record is from RNAcentral.
CUACGGAGGGUGCAAGCGUUGUUCGGAUUUAUUGGGCGUAAAGCGAGUGUAGGCGGUUUGACAAGUCGAAUGUGAAAUCCCGAGGCCCAACCUCGGAACUGCAUCCGAAACUGUCAGGCUAGAGUCCCGGAGAGGAUGGCGGAAUUCCCGGUGUAGGGGUGAAAUCCGUAGAUAUCGGGAGGAACACCAGUGGCGAAGGCGGCCAUCUGGACGGUGACUGACGCUGAGACUCGAAAGUGUGGGUAGCAAACAGGAUUAGAUACCCCAGUAGUCC